This 1960-nucleotide ribosomal RNA is filed under the name human gut metagenome. Its description in RNAcentral is "bacterial LSU rRNA". It matches the Rfam family "Bacterial large subunit ribosomal RNA", at positions 493 to 2461 of the family's 2925-position model. The record is from RNAcentral.
AACCAGUACCGUGAGGGAAAGGUGAAAAGCACUUCGAACAGAAGAGUGAAAUAGUCCCUGAACCCAUACGCCUACAAGCAGUCGGAGCCGCUUCGUGCGGUGACGGCGUGCCUUUUGCAUAAUGAGCCUACGAGUUACUCAUCACCAGCGAGGUUAAGUACUUCAGGUACGUAAGCCGAAGCGAAAGCGAGUCUGAAUAGGGCGUCAAGUUGGUGGUGGUAGACGCGAAACCUUAGUGAUCUACCCAUGGGCAGGGUGAAGGUUUGGUAACACAAACUGGAGGCCCGAACCGGUAAACGUUGAAAAGUUUUCGGAUGACCUGUGGGUAGGGGUGAAAGGCCAAUCAAACUGGGAAAUAGCUCGUACUCUCCGAAAUGCAUUUAGGUGCAGCCUCUGUUGUUUUGUUCUAGAGGUAGAGCUACUGAUUGGAUGCGAGGGCUUCACCGCCUAUCAAAUCCGGCCAAACUCCGAAUGCUAGAACAUGAAGACAGGGAGUGAGCCAGCGGGUGCUAAGGUCCGUUGACGAAAGAGGGAGAACUCAGACCAUCAGCUAAGGUCCCCAAUUAUAUGCUAAGUUGGAAUUAAAACGGGGUGGGACUGCUUAGACAGCUAGGAUGUUGGCUUGGAAGCAGCCAUUCAUUUAAAGAGUGCGUAACAGCUCACUAGUCGAGCGGUCCUGCAUGGAUAAUACGCGGGCAUAAGCAUAUAACCGAAGCUAUGGGAUUGUAGAUGAUACAAUCGGUAGGAGAGCAUUCCAUUCAGCAUAGAAGCAGUACCGUGAGGUAUUGUGGAGCGGAUGGAAAAGCAAAUGUAGGCAUAAGUAACGAUAAUGCGGGUGAGAACCCCGCACGCCGAAAGAUCAAGGAUUCCCCGGCAAUGUCAAUCAUCCGGGGGUAAGUCGGAUCCUAAGGGUAAGCCGAGUGGCGAUCCCGAUGGCAAACAGGUUAAUAUUCCUGUACUGAUCAUAACUGCGAUGCAGCGACGCAGAGGUGACACUGCUGCGUACUGACGGAAUAGUACGUUGAAACCCGUAUUCUUUGAUACCGGUAGUGAAGCACGCCGGUAGAGAUGAAAGGUGAUAGUACCGCAAUGCUUCGGUUGCGCGGAUAAUGCAGGUAAGCUGACUGCCAAGAAAACCUGCUAAGCUUCAGGUAAUGAUCAUCCGUACUGUAAACGGACACACGUGAUCAGGUAGAAAAUACUAAGGCGCUCGAGAGAUUCAUGGUUAAGGAACUAGGCAAAAUGGUCCUGUAACUUCGGGAUAAAGGACGCUCUUGUGAAAGAGCCGCAGAUAAUAGGCCCAGGCGACUGUUUACCAAAAACACAUGGCUAUGCUAAUUCGCAAGAAGAUGUAUAUGGCCUGACACCUGCCCGGUGCCGGAAGGUUAAGAGGAGAGCUCAGAGGUAACUCGAAGGUUUGAAUUGAAGCCCCGGUAAACGGCGGCCGUAACUAUAACGGUCCUAAGGUAGCGAAAUUCCUUGUCGGGUAAGUUCCGACCUGCACGAAUGGUGUAACGAUCUGGGUACUGUCUCAACCAUGAGCUCGGUGAAAUUGUAGUUCCGGUGAAGAUGCCGGAUACCCGCAACGGGACGGAAAGACCCCGUGAACCUUUACUGCAGCUUUGCAUUGAUUUUGGGUAACAGAUGUGUAGGAUAGGUCGGAGGCUUUGAUGCUGCGUCGUCAGGCGUAGAGUAGCCGUCGUUGAAAUACGACCCUUUUGUUAUCUGAGGUCUAAUCCCGUUAGGGAGACAUUGCAUGGUGGGUAGUUUGACUGGGGUGGUCGCCUCCAAAAGUGUAACGGAGGCUUCUCAAGGUACCCUCAAGGCGUUUGGUAAUCGUCUGCAGAGUGCAAUGGCAUAAGGGUGCUUGACUGUGAGACCGACACGUCGAUCAGGUUGGAAACAAGAGCAUAGUGAUCCGGUGGUUCCGCAUGGAAGGGCCAUCGCUCAAAGGAUAAAA